GAUGAACGCUGGCGGCGUGCCUAAUACAUGCAAGUCGAGCGAACAGACGAGGAGCUUGCUCCUCUGACGUUAGCGGCGGACGGGUGAGUAACACGUGGAUAACCUACCUAUAAGACUGGGAUAACUUCGGGAAACCGGAGCUAAUACCGGAUAAUAUAUUGAACCGCAUGGUUCAAUAGUGAAAGACGGUUUUGCUGUCACUUAUAGAUGGAUCCGCGCCGCAUUAGCUAGUUGGUAAGGUAACGGCUUACCAAGGCAACGAUGCGUAGCCGACCUGAGAGGGUGAUCGGCCACACUGGAACUGAGACACGGUCCAGACUCCUACGGGAGGCAGCAGUAGGGAAUCUUCCGCAAUGGGCGAAAGCUUGACGGAGCAACGCUGCGUGAGUGAUGAAGGUCUUCGGAUCGUAAAACUCUGUUAUUAGGGAAGAACAAAUGUGUAAGUAGCUAUGCACGUCUUGACGGUACCUAAUCAGAAAGCCACGGCUAACUACGUG
Molecule: ribosomal RNA, 497 nt
Filed under: uncultured bacterium
Lineage: Bacteria
Description: partial 16S ribosomal RNA
Rfam family: Bacterial small subunit ribosomal RNA
Source: RNAcentral